AUUAGCGGCUUCCAUUUAUCGGGAUAUCGCAUCCAUUUUUUAAUAAUUAAGACUGUAAUAUAUCUUUGUUGUUUCAUCUUCAUACAAAGUAUCCACAAAACAUUGUACAUAGGUUGAUAUUCAAUAGUGAUAUUCAGCGUAGUAUGAAAACAAUAUGUAUCCAAUCAUUUGAACAGCUUUCGAGCUUAUUAUCGCUUACGUAUGAUUUUCAUCCGUGAAUAAGAGGAAAGAAUGAUUUGAUUUAAUAGAGUUUAGAAUGUCUCUAGUUAGUAUAGGCCUACAAAUGAUGCAGCAAUUUACAUCGGAUCUGAAUUUAAAAUCGAUCGAGUACAUCUGUUUCUCCAGCGUUUAAAUAACAAACCACAAAUAAUAAUAUACUCAGCAGAAGCAAUCUGUCAGGCGAAAAGAAGAUCAACAGAGUGCGGAUAAUUACAAGGAUAGUGAUUGGGAUGUAGGUUCAAGGGGAGACUAAAUUAGAUACAGCUGUUUGUUGCUCCUGGAUAUAAGCCUGAGUGCAGAGAUAGGAACUCUCACGCAGGAGGAACUGCAUGUUUCAUUAGGUCUGACAUCCCUGUUAGAAGUAGAAGGAUUUGGAAGAAGAAGAUCUUGAAAGUGCCAGCUGUUUGAACAUCAUCUUAUGGCAUGAUCGUUUACAAUCACACAGCGUUGGUUUACUACUAUACAACAGACCUUAACUCUAGUUCGGUAGACACGGACAAUGCAACGAUUUCAAGUAUGGAGAGGUUUGGAGACAAUGAAACUUCACAACAUCAUACUUCCACGUCAGUUAUUUGCAGUAAUGCAACCGACGUCAUAUCGGAGAACCCCAGGACGUCGCAUGACGCCCUUCUGUAUAUAGUAACGGUUCUGUUGUUUUAU
Molecule: long non-coding RNA, 879 nt
Organism: Mercenaria mercenaria
Lineage: Eukaryota; Metazoa; Mollusca; Bivalvia; Venerida; Veneridae
Exons: 4
Source: RefSeq, a predicted model, not a curated record